AUUACAAUUCCAGUUGAUUUUAUUUUAUUGUCAACAUUGUUAAUGAUAAAAAUAGAGUCGUUUUACAGUUAUUUUUACUUUCUGGAAGGAGGCAAUUAGACUUCUAAUCAGGAAUACACAAAAAUCUCCCAUGAUUAACUGCAGUACUUUGUUCAAAUUGCUGCUAUAAAAUUCAGAACAAUUUGCCUGUAAUGAUUAUGGACUGGGUUUAUUUUGGGAGGUGGAAUAAAAGUGGAUAUAGCAUAAAUUAUCCUCUAAUUAUACACCAGUGUCGCCUCAAUUAUCCUCUUAUCAAAAUGGUUGUCUAACUGCCGCAUUUAGUUUCAAUUCUCUCCUUUUUUCUAUAAAAAGAACUUCAUACCUUGUUAUUAUUAAUCCAUUUAUUAUUUGCAAGGGGAUUUAUAUCCGAACAUCCAGGUGGUAUUACCACUUCUCUUUCAAAGAUGGACUAGGGAAAGACAUUAAGUUUGAUCCAGCAUCGCGGAGGAUCUCUCUCUCUCCUCUCUCUCCCCCCUCUCUCUCACCCCCUCUCUCUCUUUUUUUCCCCCCUUUCCCUCGCUUAAAUCUCCUCGCGUCCAGCUAAGCAUGAACUCCAGAGACAGACCCCACCGGAGAGGACUGAGCUGCCAUGGAAAAUGACCAGAAAUCUACUAUCUGAGAAAACCCAUCCAUCAUCUUCAGGCAAUCUUCCAAUCUGUUAACUUUAGCUGCUACUAAUAAGUGUCUCAGUCCAGGAAAAGCAAUUAUUACGAUGUUUCACAGAACAGCUUCCAGAUAACAUAUGAUGUAAGCUGCUCAUGGGCAACAUUUCUUCUAAGGAAAUGAGCUUUUUUUUUUUUUUUCUUCAGUAAGCAACUUUACCAAUGCAAGUGUGAUAAAAACAGAGGAAAAGAGAAGAGCUGUUGGAAAUGGGAUUUUGACCAUAGCUACUGCACCCAUUUACACUUCCCAAAGACUUGAAUCACAAUGCUUUUAAAGCCCUUGUUAUGGGUGCAGACUGUCAGUAAGGUUGAGAGAUCUCACAUGUGGCUGGGAUACGGUCCCUAAUGUGUUACAUCACAUGGAGCCAAACCAGGCAACCUGGUUUGACUGCAGGUUCACACCCAGAGAGUGAUAUCUCAUCUACGAUCUAACACUCGGAACCAGCAAUGCAAAACAAGCCAAGCUGUGUCUGUUGGCAUCUCUAUUUUGAUUCCUGCUAUUUCAAGGCCCUUAAUGAACAUGCAGCACCACACUGGGCUGCUGCCUGCAGCCCAUAACCUGCUCAGUGUGCUCACAUGUGGCAGUCACUUGCAUUUUUCUCUGUCCUGUCUCCACAGCACACAGGAAGGCUGCUGUGGUGGCGGAGGUGCCACUGGGAGGCAUUGCUGUGAGGGUGGUGAAGAGAUGGAGGCCUCUCCAAGGUAAUCAUGGACCAUUAUUAAGUGGCUUAGAUGGAUAUCCUGAUGGAGGAUGAACCCACCUGUGUGGUAGCACAUUUACUAUCACACAUCUGAGCUCCCAGUGCAGAGAGCUUCCUAUUAGAAAAUGGGAAACCAAAGCAGGAGAGUGUCUAAAAAGCAGCAUAUGGUUUAUCUGUGACUACCUUCUCUGUAGCCUGAUUUCUGUAAUGAGAAAUGUCUCUCAAGGGAUUGAGGAGAAAAAUUUUGACAACUCCCCUAUGACAAAAAGCAUACAUUGAUAAAGUUUACUUUCAGAUCCUGGAGCAAAUACAUUUAGGAUCAGUCAGAUAAUAAUAUGGUGGCAUCUCACCAAGCCUCUCUGAUUAGUUUUGAGGGCUGGUUAAUACCACACAUCUUUUUAGAAAGUUCCUCAUGGCUAAUACCUGGCGGUUCUUCACAUGUCCUUUUAAGCAGAUGUUACCUUGUGACUAAUUUUAUGUCUGCCCUUGCUUGACUCCUUGAUCUUGAAGGUUGACAGCAUUUAGUAUGAUUUCAGACACCCCUCUACCUCAUCAGACUGAAUGACUUAUCUUUUCAAUUCCGCAUCUCUGGUGUAUUGUGGAUUCUCUUGUUUUGUUUAGAUUUCUGGUUGUAGACUUGCUUUCUGAUCCCUGAAGAAUUAGAUACUAAAAGGAAAGCAUGAUCUGUAGUCCUUCCAAAAAUUUCAGAUUAGUGUGCUAGAUCUUUCUGUGUAAUAUGCAAUCCAAAACAAGAUACCCUUUACUUGCUGAGCAAAGGUUUGGUCUUGAGUACCAUCAUUAAGCUGCUUGCCUUUAAUUGUCAAAGAUGGAUAGAAACCAGCAAACAAUUUGAUUUUGAUGUCUAACAAGAGGGUAAGAUACAUUACUGAAAGGUCAGCAGUCAGUGUUUGGGAGUUCUUGGCCCCUUGGACACCCUGACAAUAAGUGCCUGGAAAGGCUGAUUUUGCAAUACAGCAUGCAAGUUCAUCAGGUUUGGUUAUAGGAAAGUCUACAUUCUUCUUGCAUUUCUUAGGUGGUUUAAUGUAUUCACCAAUUUAGUUAAGAUUCCUUUGUUCUCCUAGGCAGGAGUUCUACUGUAGUGAGAUGGAAAGUGUUAAUAUUACUUUCCCUAGGAUAGGACAUAUUGAGAACUUCUGCCUAGUAAUUUUUUUUAUUUUAAUAUAUUUCUUAUUUUCUUCAUUUGAACAGUUUUUGGGCAUCAAUGUAACAUAUUAAACUAUCAUAAUGAAAUUGUGAGCAGGAGCAACUUAAUGCUACCUGCUUGAUUCCUGACAGCAUUAUGCUGUCUGUAAAGAUGAGAAAGGUAAAAAUAAAAAUGACAUUUCCAAUUUGGCAGAUGCCCUGUAGCAUUAAGAGGGAGUCCAUCGAUUUCAAGGAUAGAAAUUCUUAUAUGCCUAGUGAACUGAAAAAAGUGCUACUUCUUUCUGUAUAUUAUAGGAGGAGAUUCUUAAAAAAAAAAAGUAAAUUAAGAUAUCAAAUUUAAACUUAUUCUUUGCUGUUAGUUUGAAACCAGAAAUUGUCACUUCUUUCCCAGAGCCAUCCAUUUUCAUUGAGAGUGACUCUGGCCUUUCUGGUAUUACUCCUUAUGUUAUUUCUCAGCAAAGUGCUCAGCCUUUAAAAUACAAACCAUUAAUGAAUAUAUUUUUUUAUCCAGAUAUUAAUUUUCUUGUAUAAGACAGUCUUAUUCCCUAAAUCUUUUAGGCCUAUCACUCAGUUUAUAUGCACAACAGGUCUUUGACAGUUCUGUAUUUCUUCCUAAAGCAGAAAGUUAAAAGGAAAUAAAAAUGAAUUCUUAUGCCUAAGUAUUUGAAAAUUACUGUGGUCUAGAUGUCACUAAGGCACAAAUAUCAUAGUACAUAUUCAAAAGAAAUCACCAGAUGCAGAAUACAACAUUCCAGACACACCAGAUCCAAUUCAUACAAGCCUUUUGUCUGAGUAAUUUACUCUCCUGAGAGUUAAGGGAAAUUGGGUGACAAUUUUUCAGUUUUGUAUUUUGCAACUUAUUGAGGUCCCCAAAUUCAUAUUUCCUUACACUCUUCUUUUAUACUGACCGUGUUUGUCAGAAAACAUGUGUGAAUGAAAAUAGAUCUGAAAUUUGCGUUGCUUUUGGGGCUUGGUCCAAACAGGAUUAGCACCCAUAGAAGGAUCUCACCAGAGGUUUCCAUGACUUCUGGUUAGGUCAUUAAUGACCUUUCAAACAUUUUGGUCUUCUGCCUUUCAUAUGAAGAGGAAUAAUGAUCCUGCAUUUGAAAAACAUUUUGAUAUUGCUAGGGACGCAGACAUUAAUCACUGUUAUACCUCUUUACAAGGGUAAGAAAUAAAAUACUGUUUAACAGAAAGACCAUGCUUCAUUAUAUUUGCAACAAUGGAAACUGGAAUAUAACAUUUUUAUUUUUAAAAAUCAAGCCACAGAUUAAGUUUUGAUUGCAGUAUUUUGUACUGAAAAUAAGAAUAAGAAAGCAAUUAAGUAUUCAUAGUCAUGCUCUCACACAAACACCUUCCAUGGUGAGCCUGUUUAUGCAACUGAGUAUGCCAUACAAUUGCUUUUAUUACCUUCUUAUAAAACAGCCUGUAUAAACCACUUUUUUUUGAUUGUUUCUUUGUGUAUUGUUGAGCGUGUUUGCAUUCUAAAGGGCUUUGCCUCAUUAAACAAUUACCAUAAA
This is a non-coding RNA of Lonchura striata (white-rumped munia), 4086 nucleotides long. The record is from RefSeq and is a predicted model, not a curated record. NCBI's taxonomy places the organism in Eukaryota, Metazoa, Chordata, Aves, Passeriformes, Estrildidae.